Molecule: ribosomal RNA, 2787 nt
Filed under: human gut metagenome
Description: bacterial LSU rRNA
Rfam family: Bacterial large subunit ribosomal RNA
Source: RNAcentral
AGCGUACACGGUGGAUGCCCUGGCAGUCAGAGGCGAUGAAGGACGUGCUAAUCUGCGAUAAGCGUCGGUAAGGUGAUAUGAACCGUUAUAACCGGCGAUUUCCGAAUGGGGAAACCCAGUGUGUUUCGACACACUAUCAUUAACUGAAUCCAUAGGUUAAUGAGGCGAACCGGGGGAACUGAAACAUCUAAGUACCCCGAGGAAAAGAAAUCAACCGAGAUUCCCCCAGUAGCGGCGAGCGAACGGGGAGCAGCCCAGAGUCUGAAUCAGUGUGUGUGUUAGUGGAAGCGUCUGGAAAGGCGCGCGAUACAGGGUGACAGCCCCGUACACAAAAAUGCACAUGCUGUGAGCUCGAUGAGUAGGGCGGGACACGUGGUAUCCUGUCUGAAUAUGGGGGGACCAUCCUCCAAGGCUAAAUACUCCUGACUGACCGAUAGUGAACCAGUACCGUGAGGGAAAGGCGAAAAGAACCCCGGCGAGGGGAGUGAAAAAGAACCUGAAACCGUGUACGUACAAGCAGUGGGAGCACGCUUAGGCGUGUGACUGCGUACCUUUUGUAUAAUGGGUCAGCGACUUAUAUUCUGUAGCAAGGUUAACCGAAUAGGGGAGCCGAAGGGAAACCGAGUCUUAACUGGGCGUUAAGUUGCAGGGUAUAGACCCGAAACCCGGUGAUCUAGCCAUGGGCAGGUUGAAGGUUGGGUAACACUAACUGGAGGACCGAACCGACUAAUGUUGAAAAAUUAGCGGAUGACUUGUGGCUGGGGGGGAAAGGCCAAUCAAACCGGGAGAUAGCUGGUUCUCCCCGAAAGCUAUUUAGGUAGCGCCUCGUGAAUUCAUCUCCGGGGGUAGAGCACUGUUUCGGCAAGGGGGUCAUCCCGACUUACCAACCCGAUGCAAACUGCGAAUACCGGAGAAUGUUAUCACGGGAGACACACGGCGGGUGCUAACGUCCGUCGUGAAGAGGGAAACAACCCAGACCGCCAGCUAAGGUCCCAAAGUCAUGGUUAAGUGGGAAACGAUGUGGGAAGGCCCAGACAGCCAGGAUGUUGGCUUAGAAGCAGCCAUCAUUUAAAGAAAGCGUAAUAGCUCACUGGUCGAGUCGGCCUGCGCGGAAGAUGUAACGGGGCUAAACCAUGCACCGAAGCUGCGGCAGCGACGCUUAUGCGUUGUUGGGUAGGGGAGCGUUCUGUAAGCCUGUGAAGGUGUGCUGUGAGGCAUGCUGGAGGUAUCAGAAGUGCGAAUGCUGACAUAAGUAACGAUAAAGCGGGUGAAAAGCCCGCUCGCCGGAAGACCAAGGGUUCCUGUCCAACGUUAAUCGGGGCAGGGUGAGUCGACCCCUAAGGCGAGGCCGAAAGGCGUAGUCGAUGGGAAACAGGUUAAUAUUCCUGUACUUGGUGUUACUGCGAAGGGGGGACGGAGAAGGCUAUGUUGGCCGGGCGACGGUUGUCCCGGUUUAAGCGUGUAGGCUGGUUUUCCAGGCAAAUCCGGAAAAUCAAGGCUGAGGCGUGAUGACGAGGCACUACGGUGCUGAAGCAACAAAUGCCCUGCUUCCAGGAAAAGCCUCUAAGCAUCAGGUAACAUCAAAUCGUACCCCAAACCGACACAGGUGGUCAGGUAGAGAAUACCAAGGCGCUUGAGAGAACUCGGGUGAAGGAACUAGGCAAAAUGGUGCCGUAACUUCGGGAGAAGGCACGCUGAUAUGUAGGUGAAGUCCCUCGCGGAUGGAGCUGAAAUCAGUCGAAGAUACCAGCUGGCUGCAACUGUUUAUUAAAAACACAGCACUGUGCAAACACGAAAGUGGACGUAUACGGUGUGACGCCUGCCCGGUGCCGGAAGGUUAAUUGAUGGGGUCAGCGCAAGCGAAGCUCUUGAUCGAAGCCCCGGUAAACGGCGGCCGUAACUAUAACGGUCCUAAGGUAGCGAAAUUCCUUGUCGGGUAAGUUCCGACCUGCACGAAUGGCGUAAUGAUGGCCAGGCUGUCUCCACCCGAGACUCAGUGAAAUUGAACUCGCUGUGAAGAUGCAGUGUACCCGCGGCAAGACGGAAAGACCCCGUGAACCUUUACUAUAGCUUGACACUGAACAUUGAGCCUUGAUGUGUAGGAUAGGUGGGAGGCUUGGAAGUGUGGACGCCAGUCUGCAUGGAGCCGACCUUGAAAUACCACCCUUUAAUGUUUGAUGUUCUAACGUUGACCCGUAAUCCGGGUUGCGGACAGUGUCUGGUGGGUAGUUUGACUGGGGCGGUCUCCUCCUAAAGAGUAACGGAGGAGCACGAAGGUUGGCUAAUCCUGGUCGGACAUCAGGAGGUUAGUGCAAUGGCAUAAGCCAGCUUGACUGCGAGCGUGACGGCGCGAGCAGGUGCGAAAGCAGGUCAUAGUGAUCCGGUGGUUCUGAAUGGAAGGGCCAUCGCUCAACGGAUAAAAGGUACUCCGGGGAUAACAGGCUGAUACCGCCCAAGAGUUCAUAUCGACGGCGGUGUUUGGCACCUCGAUGUCGGCUCAUCACAUCCUGGGGCUGAAGUAGGUCCCAAGGGUAUGGCUGUUCGCCAUUUAAAGUGGUACGCGAGCUGGGUUUAGAACGUCGUGAGACAGUUCGGUCCCUAUCUGCCGUGGGCGCUGGAGAACUGAGGGGGGCUGCUCCUAGUACGAGAGGACCGGAGUGGACGCAUCACUGGUGUUCGGGUUGUCAUGCCAAUGGCACUGCCCGGUAGCUAAAUGCGGAAGAGAUAAGUGCUGAAAGCAUCUAAGCACGAAACUUGCCCCGAGAUGAGUUCUCCCUGACUCCUUGA